Molecule: ribosomal RNA, 377 nt
Filed under: uncultured bacterium
Lineage: Bacteria
Description: bacterial SSU rRNA
Rfam family: Bacterial small subunit ribosomal RNA
Source: RNAcentral
ACACGUAGGGGGCGAGCGUUGUCCGGAAUUACUGGGCGUAAAGGGCGCGUAGGCGGCCUAAUAAGUCAGAUGUGAAACCCCCGGGCUUAACCCUGGGCUUGCAUUUGAAACUGUUGGGCUUGAGGGCAGGAGAGGGAAGCGGAAUUCCCAGUGUAGCGGUGAAAUGCGUAGAUAUUGGGAGGAACACCAGUGGCGAAGGCGGCUUUCUGGACUGCACCUGACGCUGAGGCGCGAAAGCCAGGGGAGCGAACGGGAUUAGAUACCCCGGUAGUCCUGGCCGUAAACGAUGGAUACUAGGUGUGGGAGGUAUCGACCCCUUCCGUGCCGUAGCCAACGCACUAAGUAUCCCGCCUGGGGAGUACGGCCGCAAGGCUGAA